This is an RNA transcript of Physella acuta, 1574 nucleotides long. It is a transcript of the gene named MRN complex-interacting protein, with no coding region annotated. The record is from RefSeq and is a predicted model, not a curated record. NCBI's taxonomy places the organism in Eukaryota, Metazoa, Mollusca, Gastropoda, Physidae.
UAAUAUUCCGGAACUGUACAGCAGUAAAAACCACUAUGGCGUAGUCUGUCGAGCCGUUCCGGAAACCACCGAAAAUACUGUGUAAUCUAUCGUUUUACUAAAGCCUUGACAAUUAGGUAACUUUUUCGCACAUUACUAGCCUCGGACGAUUUUACGCACUAAAAUGAUAGAUUACCAAAUGCAAAUACUACUACGCAAUUGUUUUACUGUUUUUUACCGCUGAACAAUUCCGGAAUAAUCGAUGCUAUAUCAUGAUUUGACCUAGCGUCGGAAAUUAAUUCUCCUUAAAGAAUGUUAACUAAACUCAACAAACAUUCGGAUAAUUUCCGACGCUAUAUCGUGAGACUACCCACUUAAACUUGAAAUAAUUAAAAAUACAAAAUAAUUAGCAGAUUAGACCUAUUUAAAUCUAUGCAAAUUUUUAAACAUUAGGCCUAGUAUGUAGGCCUAUUAAAAAUAAUGUUGCAAGUUACAAAAACAACAAAGUGGCAAUGUAAAGUGUGUGGUCAGAAACAAUCCACAAUAAAGGUGAAUACUCUUUGAAAAUGAUAGACUACAGCAAAAUAGACAGGGAGUGUUAAAAUCCUGGCCUGUGCACUAGAGAUUUCAAAAUAUGGAAUGCCGAGAGCCACUAUUUUAUAUUCUUAAAACUUAUACUGAAUGUAUAUGCACAUGGGACUGGUGCAGAUUGUCGUAAAUAUGUCCAAAAGCUGAACACUGUUCGAGGUCAAAUAGAUGAAGUAAGUGGUGAGAAAAGUUUGGAGGGUGCCAGCUCACAGUCUGUGACGCUUGAUGCUCAUAGUAUUGGCACUUCAUCCAACUGCAAACCUCAAGUAGACAAGGCAAAAAGCAAAUGGUCAGUUUUUUUAGACGAGUCAGUGAGCCAGCAAAAUGUGAGUGGACACUUUGAAAAUGAAGAAACUGACCAUGUCACAACUGAUUGGGCAGAGUUGAGGGAUUCAAAAAAACGUAAGCGAGUUGAGCAUCAUACAAGUUUUACAAAGAGUUUGAGAACUUCAUGUGACCAGACAGUAGAGGUGAUCAAGAAUUCUGGUUGGCCAAAAGAUUCAGCUAAAAGUUCAGCUAGCCUCUCUUUUGAAAAUGUAUGUCCUCCAAUCUACAAAUCAAUUGGACAGAGACAACAAAAUAGCAGAGACAGACAUCUUGGUGUUCCUGUAAGGGGUGCAGACACAAAUGACUGGCACUCUGCCAGUAAUCCUGUGAUCAUUGGUGCAUCAGUUCAAGUUCCUAAAGAAUGGGAUCACCAAGUGCAGAUUACAGCCCCUAUACAAACAGCCAAUAAACCAAACAAGGCAAAACAAAAAAGUCUUUCCAAUAAAUGGGAUGUUUUCCUUGACGAUAAUGGUGAUGAUAAUGGUGAUGAAAGCUAACCUGUGUGGUAGGUCAGGGGGAGAUAACUUUAUUCUGAGAAAUCUGAUACAUAAGUCUCCUACUUCUAUAGUACUAUUCAAAAAAAAUAAUUGCUCUGGCCUUUCUGAUCAAGAUAGAAAGUCAGAAGCAGACUUCAAAAAGAUAGACCUAUGUUAUUUUGGAUUGAAGCAAAUGGUGUGACA